This 76-nucleotide transfer RNA is filed under the name candidate division SR1 bacterium. Its description in RNAcentral is "tRNA-His". It matches the Rfam family "tRNA". From Rfam's summary of the family: Transfer RNA (tRNA) molecules are approximately 80 nucleotides in length. Their secondary structure includes four short double-helical elements and three loops (D, anti-codon, and T loops). Further hydrogen bonds mediate the characteristic L-shaped molecular structure. tRNAs have two regions of fundamental functional importance: the anti-codon, which is responsible for specific mRNA codon recognition, and the 3' end, to which the tRNAs corresponding amino acid is attached (by aminoacyl-tRNA synthetases). tRNAs cope with the degeneracy of the genetic code in two manners: having more than one tRNA (with a specific anti-codon) for a particular amino acid; and 'wobble' base-pairing, i.e. permitting non-standard base-pairing at the 3rd anti-codon position. The record is from RNAcentral. Lineage: Bacteria; Candidatus Absconditibacteriota.
GCGGAUGUAGCUCAGUUGGUAGAGCAGAGGGUUGUGGUUCCUCGUGUCGCGGGUUCGAUCCCCGUCGUUCGCCCCA